Molecule: ribosomal RNA, 1950 nt
Filed under: Triticum aestivum (bread wheat)
Lineage: Eukaryota; Viridiplantae; Streptophyta; Magnoliopsida; Poales; Poaceae
Description: partial small subunit ribosomal RNA
Source: RNAcentral
CACUCCGCGGCGGAUAAAUCUGACAACGACCGGUGUCAUGCACGGUGAGCGUGAGUCUUUGGUGUUCGGUGAGCGGUGUACCUUUACCUGUUCGUGCCAGCUGGAGACGAACGAGACGAAAGCGAUGAGGAGACGUAGAGGGACGAGGCCCGGUCGAGCCGCCGAAGGCAGUGGCGGCCGUUGGGGCUGCCGUGCCUCGAGACCCCUAAGCAGCUUCAGGCUGGUUUCCGGGUGGACAAGACCACCAUGAUGUUCUCGGGGGUCUCCCACAGCUGCGGCAGGUCCGGUACCGGCUGGCAGGAGACCGAUGUCCCGCCAGGGCCUCGCAGCCCCCACCCGUAGCCGUUGAAGUACCUCUAGCCCGGGGAGCUGCAGUUGGACUUCGGAGCUUUGAGCUGCACCGACGUCUUCCGGCUGGAGUAGAAGCACCUGUUGGGACACCCCCAGCCCAUGUCAAUGCAACUCCUGCUGUCGGACGACCACUGCUGACUGACCGUCCGCCGGUGCCUGCGGUGGUGCGACGAGUUCCGCGAGCAGUUCCUCGACGGGUGGGACGUCGUCCCCUCGGGGGAGAAGGAACAGCGGCUCAGGAUGCCGCCUUUCAUGCGCCGGUGUGAGCCGCAGAGGCAGCGUUCCCGGCAGGCACGGCCGCUGGAGUUCUAGUUCGAGCGUCCGCAGCGCGAGCCCCUAUCGACCCAGAGCGGCCUCCUAAAGUGCGAGCGAAUGCGCGGCGACGAGGACCUCCAAAGCUCCGAGCUGCUGUUGCGGCCGCUGCGGCGGUUCUUCUUCCGCCGCUGCCACUUCCUCGUUUAGCGCCGGCCCGCCGACCGGCUGAGCGUCCCCAGCACCAGCCUCGACAACCUAAAGUAACUGAGGUUCUCGCGGUCGCAGCUGUACAUGUUAAAGGACGAGCUGCGGCCGUACCUGGGCCACCGCCGCCUGGAUGGCCGCUGGAGCAGCCGAGGCUGCUGCAGCUCGUUGCGCGUUCACUACUUCAUGAGCUGCAUGGAGCCGCCGUCGGUACUCCUUCGGCCGAGGUUGUGGUGGUUGUGGGAGCCGCCGUAGUACUUGCCCCAGUAGUUCCUCUUCGAGUUCUAGUAGGGGUUUCUGGUGCUCACCGUGCUCGACAGGCUAGGGCAGAUGUUGCGCGACCAGUUGCUGAAGUACUUCGGUGCCUAGCUGCUCCAACUGCUCGACGACAGAAUGCCACAUCUACAGUGCCAAAUAUUACCGGUCGAGCUGCACUAAACGAGCUGGUUCCCGCGCCUCCGUACCCACGUUUUCGAGUUUACCCUGCCCGACUUCUUGAAGGACUCGGACGGCGCCGUCGGAGACAGGACGCCUAGUAGGUUCCAGUGGUUCCGGAAGCAGUCCAGGAUGUUCUUGGACGUAAAGAUGACCUAGGAGCCGCGACCGGUGAAGCACGGACGGCUGGUCGGAACGUAACGCGACUCGUACUAGCGACCGUAUUGGGUGAGAGGUCGGCCGAUCCACUCCUCCUCCUGGGCCUAGUCUAGGACAGACGGCCCAUCCUUUUCCUUUGACUUCUAUCUUCAUAUCUUUCUUUCCAACACACAUGAAAUUUCCCGCUACUUUAACUAACAUUCCACGCAACCACACACUCACCCCAAUUUCGAGCAGGCAAAAUAAGAGGCUUAUUUCUAAUGUGGAAAAUCUCGAAGAAAGUGCCAAAAUCAUACUUUAAAUACAAAGCAAAAAACCGUCUGUAAACAUCUUUACGCUACAAGUUUGUAGAGUGUGUCGCCAUGUUUUCCGCUUUUCCAUAUUGUAGUUUUACCUUUCUUGUAGAGGUUGUUGUCGGGAUAAAAUCCCGUGGUUUUUCGACAACGUCAUUUUAAAUCUCCGUGGUUUUCCACUUAAAAUCCCGUAAGCUUUUACAAGUAGAGGUUGUUGACGGGAUUUUAUCCUGUGAAGUUUGUACGUUACAAA